RNAcentral lists this long non-coding RNA (979 nucleotides) under Homo sapiens (human). Lineage: Eukaryota; Metazoa; Chordata; Mammalia; Primates; Hominidae. The record is from RNAcentral.
CCGGAAGUGCGGAUCCCAGCGGUGGUCGUGUAGCUGAGCAGGCCUGGGGCUUGGUUCUAUGUCCCUGUGGCUAUGUUUCCAGUGUCCUCUGGGUGUUUCCAAGAGCAACAAGAAACGAAUAAAUCUCUGAUGAAGAGAUACCAUUUGACAUUUUAGAGAUGGCUGCAUGCAAACUCUUAAAACAUUUGACCAUAGGAGUUUUAGCCAAUUCAGAGGCCUUGCUCCCCACAAUUUGGAAAAUUCCUUUGGAUUUGACCAAGUCAGGAAGAGAAGGGAGAAAAGUGAAACAACAAUAAAGCCCCAAGCAUAAACAAACAAAAAGAGUUAAGCAAAACAACAAAUGCACAAUUCAUAUGAUUACUGAGUGUUCUAAUGGUAAGGAGAAACUAAAAGCAGAAAUUAAAAGCAGCUGGUGAGUAAUCUUAAAUUUUAGUCAUUAAGGACAAAUUUUAAGACAAAACUCUAAUUCAGCUACUCACCUGGAAACAAGGCUCAGGCUGGUGAUCGUUCUCUGCCAUCUUAGAAGCUGAAAACAACUUACACUCACCUUCCCUGUCAGAAGCAAGCUGAAACUCAGGAAAGGAGGUGCCUGCUCUCCAUCACCACAGAAGCAGGAAAACUUGCCUUCCUUGUUGGAAAUGAGUAAAACUUCAGAAAAGGAGUUGUACAGAAAAAUCAAACUUAGAUCUCAACCAGAUUUUGGGAGACCAGGGACUCUUUGCAGGGGAGAAGCUCCACAACCUCAGCAAAUUAUCCUGUUGGUUUGGGCAAUAAAGAUAGCCCAUGUUGGUAUCAAUCAAUAACGAGAUUUAUCAAAGGUCAGGGCCACCUUUGUAAUGACCUUCUCUGUCUUUUUUUAUCUUUAUUGGUAUAUACGUUUUGUCGAAACUGGGAGUGUAACACCUGAUUUCUUCUGUUUUCCAUUUGCUUGAAAGAUUUUUCACCAUUCCUUCAUUUUGAGCCUAUGUAUGGCACUGCA